GAGGAAGAAGAUGAUAUAUCCCAAUAAACACAUAAGCUUAUGGCAAGUUUGUAUUUGARUUGAUUUUGAUACUCUAUUAUAAGCCUGCAAUUUUAASUUGUCCKCUC
Molecule: ribosomal RNA, 107 nt
Filed under: Hexamatia seekhaow
Lineage: Eukaryota; Metazoa; Arthropoda; Arachnida; Araneae; Hahniidae
Description: partial small subunit ribosomal RNA
Source: RNAcentral